UAUACAUGCAGUCGAGCGGACAGAUGGGAGCUUGCUCCCUGAUGUUAGCGGCGGACGGGUGAGUAACACGUGGGUAACCUGCCUGUAAGACUGGGAUAACUCCGGGAAACCGGGGCUAAUACCGGAUGCUUGUUUGAACCGCAUGGUUCAAACAUAAAAGGUGGCUUCGGCUACCACUUACAGAUGGACCCGCGGCGCAUUAGCUAGUUGGUGAGGUAACGGCUCACCAAGGCAACGAUGCGUAGCCGACCUGAGAGGGUGAUCGGCCACACUGGGACUGAGACACGGCCCAGACUCCUACGGGAGGCAGCAGUAGGGAAUCUUCCGCAAUGGACGAAAGUCUGACGGAGCAACGCCGCGUGAGUGAUGAAGGUUUUCGGAUCGUAAAGCUCUGUUGUUAGGGAAGAACAAGUACCGUUCGAAUAGGGCGGUACCUUGACGGUACCUAACCAGAAAGCCACGGCUAACUACGUGCCAGCAGCCGCGGUAAUACGUAGGUGGCAAGCGUUGUCCGGAAUUAUUGGGCGUAAAGGGCUCGCAGGCGGUUUCUUAAGUCUGAUGUGAAAGCCCCCGGCUCAACCGGGGAGGGUCAUUGGAAA
RNAcentral lists this ribosomal RNA (599 nucleotides) under Bacillus sp. CH110_4T. RNAcentral describes it as "bacterial SSU rRNA". It matches the Rfam family "Bacterial small subunit ribosomal RNA", at positions 50 to 632 of the family's 1533-position model. Lineage: Bacteria; Bacillati; Bacillota; Bacilli; Caryophanales; Bacillaceae. The record is from RNAcentral.